Molecule: transfer RNA, 73 nt
Filed under: Apaloderma vittatum (bar-tailed trogon)
Lineage: Eukaryota; Metazoa; Chordata; Aves; Trogoniformes; Trogonidae
Rfam family: tRNA
About the family: Transfer RNA (tRNA) molecules are approximately 80 nucleotides in length. Their secondary structure includes four short double-helical elements and three loops (D, anti-codon, and T loops).
Source: Rfam by way of RNAcentral
GGCUGGUUAGCUCAGUCGGUUAGAGCGUGGUGCUGAUAACACCAAGGUCACGGGUUUGAUCCCCGUUCGUCCC